This 622-nucleotide long non-coding RNA is filed under the name Homo sapiens (human). RNAcentral describes it as "HSALNT0352601". The record is from RNAcentral. Lineage: Eukaryota; Metazoa; Chordata; Mammalia; Primates; Hominidae.
CUGGCAGAUUAUUGCAAAAAGGGCACGGGGCAGAGGGACUAUGUUGUGAGCCUGCGAAAGAAGUUUGUGUGGGGACUGUGGGCAGUGAAUGCGUUGGGAACAAUAUGGAAAACUGGGAGCUGCCUUGGAAUCUACAGGGCCGGACUUCAAUCCAACAGGACCCACUCGAGCCAUCCACACUUUCCCCAGCCUCCUCCAAAACAGCACACUUUCCGGCUGAAGAAAAGAAGAAUGGUAUUCAUGCAGUUCCCAUUUUACAGAUGAAAACAAGAGGACUUUUUCUGUGAAGUCAAGAAAGUGGUUACAAUGGUACUUUCAGCCUGUCCGAAUUAUGUAUUGCCCCUCCCCUUUUUAUUAAUAACAUUGAAGUGUGAUGGGACAACCACUGAAGCCGUCUGUUGAAACCUGCUGGGACUUUUUAGCCAUUCUCUUCAACAUAAAGAAUGGGUGUUUUUGGAGGGGGUGAGAGGAAUGGGGAAAUGUUGUCAAAGAGUACAAUGUUUUAGUUGAGACAGGAGGAAUAUAUUUUGUUGAGAUCUACAGCACAGCAUGGUGACUGUAGUUAACAAUGAAGUAUUGUGUAUUUCAAAAUUGCUAAGACAAUAAAUUUCAAAUGUUCUCA